Molecule: ribosomal RNA, 500 nt
Filed under: uncultured bacterium
Lineage: Bacteria
Description: partial 16S ribosomal RNA
Rfam family: Bacterial small subunit ribosomal RNA
Source: RNAcentral
AUUGAACGCUGGCGGCAUGCUUUACACAUGCAAGUCGAACGGUAACAGGGUGCUCGCACCGCUGACGAGUGGCGAACGGGUGAGUAAUGCGUCGGAACGUGCCGAGUAGUGGGGGAUAACGCAGCGAAAGUUGUGCUAAUACCGCAUACGUACUGAGGUAGAAAGUGGGGGACCUUCGGGCCUCACGCUAUUCGAGCGGCCGACGUCUGAUUAGCUAGUAGGUGAGGUAAAGGCUCACCUAGGCGACGAUCAGUAGCGGGUCUGAGAGGAUGGUACGCCACACUGGGAUUGGGACACGGCCCAGACUCCUACGGGAGGCGGCAGUGGGGAAUGUUGGACAAUGGGCGAAAGCCUGAUCCAGCCAUGCCGCGUGUCUGAAGAAGGCCUUCGGGUUGUAAAGGACUUUUGUCGGGGAGGAAAUCCCCAGCGUUAAUACCGCUGGGGGAUGACAGUACCUGAAGAAUAAGCACCGGCUAACUACGUGCCAGCCGCCGCGGUAA